RNAcentral lists this small nucleolar RNA (62 nucleotides) under Amazona aestiva (blue-fronted amazon). Its description in RNAcentral is "Small nucleolar RNA Z39". It matches the Rfam family "Small nucleolar RNA Z39". From Rfam's summary of the family: Z39 is a member of the C/D class of snoRNA which contain the C (UGAUGA) and D (CUGA) box motifs. RNAcentral also lists the same sequence under 1 other name. Lineage: Eukaryota; Metazoa; Chordata; Aves; Psittaciformes; Psittacidae. The record is from Rfam by way of RNAcentral.
GUGUGUGUGAUGUGAACAAAACAGUAUGAGAAACCGUGAUACUGUAAACGCUUUCUGAUGUG